AGUGGAAUAGCUAGGUCAAAUGGUGGUUUCAUUCAAAGUUUUCUGAGGAAUCUUCAUACUGCUUUCCAAAAUGCACCAAUUUGCAGUCCCACCAGCAAU
RNAcentral lists this microRNA precursor (99 nucleotides) under Marmota monax (woodchuck). Lineage: Eukaryota; Metazoa; Chordata; Mammalia; Rodentia; Sciuridae. The record is from RNAcentral.